UAUGGGUCUUGACAGAACAGAC
Molecule: microRNA, 22 nt
Filed under: Parasteatoda tepidariorum (common house spider)
Lineage: Eukaryota; Metazoa; Arthropoda; Arachnida; Araneae; Theridiidae
Description: pte-miR-193b-5p
Gene: pte-miR-193b-5p
Source: miRBase by way of RNAcentral